Ribosomal RNA from Aotus nancymaae (Ma's night monkey), 119 nucleotides. Lineage: Eukaryota; Metazoa; Chordata; Mammalia; Primates; Aotidae. The record is from Ensembl.
GUCUAUGGCCAUACCACCCUGAAAGCGCCCGAUCUUGUCUGAUCUCAGAAGCUAAGCAGGGUUGGUUCUAGUUAGUACUUGGAUGGGAGACCACCUGGGAAUACUGCGUGCUGUAGGCU